Molecule: ribosomal RNA, 1235 nt
Filed under: metagenome
Description: bacterial LSU rRNA
Rfam family: Bacterial large subunit ribosomal RNA
Source: RNAcentral
UGAAUACGAGAUGCUACGGCGUCGAAGCAGUCUAUGUCAUACUUCCAAGAAAAGCUCGCACUGUCAUAAACAAAUAAUGCCUGUACCAUAACCGACACAGGUGGGUAGGUAGAGUAUACUAAGGGGCGCGAGAUAACUCUCUCUAAGGAACUCGGCAAAAUGACUCCGUAACUUCGGGAGAAGGAGUGCCUUAUUUAUAAGGUUGCAAUAACAAGAUCCAAGCAACUGUUUAUCAAAGACACAGGUCUCCGCUAAGUCGUAAGACGAUGUAUGGGGGCUGACGCCUGCCCAGUGCCAGAAGGUUAAAGAAGUUGGUUAGCAUUCGCGAAGCUGAUAACUGAAGCCCUGGUGAACGGCGGCCGUAACAAUAACGGUCCUAAGGUAGCGAAAUUCCUUGUCGGGUAAGUUCCGACCCGCACGAAAGGCGUAAUGAUUUGGAUACUGUCUCGGAGAGGGGCUCGGUGAAAUAGACUUGUCUGUGAAGAUGCGGACUACCUGCACCAGGACAGAAAGACCCUAUGAAGCUUUACUGUAACUUGAGAUUGAAAUUGGACUUUACUUGCGCAGUAUAGGUGGGAGGCGUUGAUAAUAUUCUUGCGGGAUUAUUUGAGCCAUCAGUGAGAUACCACUCUUGUAAUGUUAGAUUUCUAACUUUGUAUCAUUAUCUGGUCAAAGGACAGUUUCAGGCGGGCAGUUUGACUGGGGCGGUCGCCUCCUAAACGGUAACGGAGGCGCACAAAGGUUUCCUCUGAACGGGUAGAAAUCGUAUCUAGAGUGUAAAGGCAUAAGGAAGCUUGACUGUGAGACCUACAAGUCGAGCAGGGACGAAAGUCGGUCUUAGUGAUCUGACGGUGCUGAGUGGAAAGGCCGUCACUCAACGGAUAAAAGUUACUCUAAGGAUAACAGGCUGAUCUCCCCCAAGAGUUCACAUCGACGGGGAGGUUUGGCACCUCGAUGUCGGCUCAUCGCAUCCUGGGGCGGUAGUACGUCCCAAGGGUUGGGCUGUUCGCCCAUGAAAGCGGUACGCGAGCUGGGUUCAGAACGUCGUGAGACAGUUCGGUCCAUAUCCGGUGUAGGCGUUAGAAUAUUGAGAGGAGCCUUCUUUAGUACGAGAGGACCGAGAAGGACAUACCUCUGGUGUACCAGUUAUCGUGCCAACGGUAAACGCUGGGUAGCUAUGUAUGGAGUGGAUAACCGCUGAAAGCAUCUAAGUGGGAAGCCCACCUCAAGAUAAG